ACCAGCAGCCAUAUCACCCUGCAACUCACAACUGCCAACCUACUGAAGCUCAGCAGGUGUGAGCCUGGUCAGUACCUGGAUGGGAGUCCUCCUGGGAAAAACUAAGGUUGCUGCUGGAA
This 119-nucleotide ribosomal RNA is filed under the name Lepisosteus oculatus (spotted gar). Lineage: Eukaryota; Metazoa; Chordata; Actinopteri; Semionotiformes; Lepisosteidae. The record is from RNAcentral.